RNA transcript from Gambusia affinis (western mosquitofish), 3344 nucleotides. It is a transcript of the gene named KH domain containing, RNA binding, signal transduction associated 1b, with no coding region annotated. The record is from RefSeq and is a predicted model, not a curated record. Lineage: Eukaryota; Metazoa; Chordata; Actinopteri; Cyprinodontiformes; Poeciliidae. The transcript is spliced from 12 exons.
UGUUCUCCCAUUUCCAACGAGUCCGCGCUUCCGAGAAGAGGUUGGUCAGUCUGCGAAGGGAACCAAUACGAGGCAAAGCGCGGAGCCGUCCGACUGUAAGCCACAUGCGAAGCCCCGUCUACUCUUUGGAUACUCGGCACGACAUAGCAACAUAAACGGACUACUUUUUUGUCUUCUUGUUGGAGUUUUCCCACGCUUUUUCAUCUUCCACCAUCCAUACCGACUGCCUCUGCGAACUCAACAAGAUGGAGAACGACGAUAAAUAUCUCCCCGAACUGCUGGCGGAGAAGGACAGCUUGGACUCGUCAUUUACGCACGCCACGAAACUUUUAAGCGCAGAAAUCGAUAGAGUGCAGAAAGGAGAGCCAAAGAAGGAGACUGAGACCUACCUGGACCUUUUCACAACAAAGAACAUCAAACUCAAGGAGCGAGUGCUCAUACCUGUCAAACAGUACCCAAAGUUCAAUUUCGUGGGGAAGAUCCUGGGACCGCAGGGCAACACGAUCAAGCGUCUGCAGGAGGAGACCGGAGCCAAGAUCUCUGUGCUGGGCAAGGGGUCCAUGAGAGACAAAGCCAAGGAGGAGGAACUGCGGAAAGGCGGCGAGCCCAAGUACGCCCACCUGUCCAUGGAGCUGCACGUCUUUAUUGAGGUGUUCGCCCCCGUGCCGGAUGGUUACCUGCGCAUGGCGCACGCCAUGGAGGAGGUCAAGAAGUUCCUGUUUCCUGAUAUGAUGGAUGAUAUCUGCCAGGGCCAGUUCAUGGAGAUGAGCUACCUGAACGGGGGCCAGGAGCACGGAGGCAGAGGCCGAGGGGGCAUGCCUGUCAGGGGCCGUGGUGUCCCCCCUGCUGGAGCACACAGGGGGAGAGGGAUGCCUCCUCACGGUGCUGCGGCCAGAGGAGGUGUGACUCGAGGAGGGCCAGCCAGGGGCGGAGCAGUGAGGGGCGCCCCGGCAGGCAGAGGAGGACCUCCUGCUGCCCCCGCCAGAGGGGCUGUGGCACCACGCGCCAGACCCCCGGCUGGCGGCCCGCCUCAGAGGAUGGCCCCUGCUCACCAGCACACAGCCGGCGCAGAGAACUACGACGAAUAUGGUUACGACGAGAGCUACACAGACACAGCCUACGAGUCUUACGACAGCUAUUACAGCCAGCCGCAGGCAGAACCAGAAUAUUACGACUACGGACACGGAGAGACGACCGAGUCGUACGAGCCUUACGAACAUGAGGAAAUGUGGCAAAGCCCCUGGGCCCAGGACGACUGGAAUGGCACCCAGCGGACGGCUACAGGGAAAGCGCCUCCCCCCUCUAGAGGCGGCAGCACGGCUUACCGGGAGCACCCCUACCGACAGUACUGAAGUGAAAUGGACCCUCUCCACCCUUAGUGUUGCCCCGAUAAAUCGCCCGUUACCACGGCAGCUCUCGCUUUAACAAGCCUGACAAAAGGACGGCUACUGAUCACUGAGCAUCCAGAGAGACGGUCUGCUGGAGACCAAAGAGCCCUCAGCAGAGAAAGUGGAGCAGGUCGCCGUGAAGAAGGUGGUCAGAUGAAAGUCUGGGGCAUCCUGACGGGGAGGGAAGAGCGCAAAGAUGGCUGCCGAGUCGGGGGCUAAAGGCAGAAGCUGUCCCUCAGAAACACAAAGAACCUUCUGUGAACUGUUGAGUCGUACUGGUGAAUUAGUCUAAUGAUUUUCUUAUCUUCGAAGACUUUCGAAUGCUUCCGUUCACAUUUCCCUCCUCUGGCGCCUAAUGCAGCAGAAAAUGAGCGCUCCUUUAUAUAGAACGCCGUGAAAUUGUUUUUAAUUUUCAUUAACCCCUCUGUAUCCGACCUGAAACGCUUCCCUUUUGGCUUUGACUGGCUUUUUUUUUUUUUUUUUUCUUUAAUAAUAUCGGGGAAUCGUUUUUUUUUUUAUUUCAUGCCUCAUCGUUGCAGGAAAUGAUACUCAACAGUUUGAGACAGGGAGCGCGUGAAUCCAGAGAUGUCCCACGCCAACGCAGAAGCAUGUUUCGCAUCCAGACGCUGUCCUGUUCUCAGCACUUUCACAUCCAGAUCGUUAGAAUUCAGCGAGACGACCGAGCGGGAGGGAAAGAGGAGGUGGGGAGGGGAGACAAAGACAGUCAUCACCAACAUCCUCCUCUCAUCCAUCCAUCCAUCCAUCCAUCCUUCCAUCAUGUUUCUGUUGAUUCGAUCUGCCGUUUUCAGCCAUUAUCACUCAUGACAUUACAGCAGCCCGUGGUGCCGAAUUACACUCAGAGGUCAAAACUCUACUUUCCCAUAUUAAAAACAAAUUUCCCGGCGCUGAGCCGCUGGUCAGAGGCAGCAUUAGCUCCUUUCGGCUUAUUGGAAAAAGCCUCUGCUGAACGAUAGACGUCAGGACUGGGAGAGAUGGGGGGGGAAAAGAAACAUCACUGGAGAUGAAACGUCAAUGGAGCCAUAUUCAAAACACACCAUUUUUCAGUCUUUAUUCGCUAUUACGUCUCGAGUAAUGAUCCCCACGUCUCCUAUAAUCUAAUGCCAGAUAAGUGAUGGUGUGGAAGCAGUCUCGUUUGGGAAUCGACAAACUGUCAGGAAGCAUAAAGGCGGAGAGGAAAGUAAACGUUACCGGGGCGCCAAUCAAUGAAAGGUAGACUUUUGAAUAUGAGCCGGGCCGCGGAUCCGUCGCUUUUCCUCUCUGUUCACGUCCGACGGGUCGGCGGCGCCUCGCUGAGGGUGGGAUGUGUUAAAAUGCAGAGUGGACAGCUGGAUCGCUUCCCCCUGGCCUUGACGGAUUCACACCAUCAGAAGAACAUCGCAUGCUGAUGCCUGUUAAAUAUAAAAAAUAAAAAAAAAGGUGACAGAGAAGCUCUCUUUCAGACGCAGCAGGACGGGCGGUAAUCUGGAGGUAGGAGGGGGACUUAAUGUAUGCCCGCCUCAUGGCUGGUGUCCUUGAUGGUCCAGGGGAACGGCAGGAAAACCUCUGAAGAUUUAUAUGGAUGGAUUCUAUUAAUAAAUACUGUGUGUGUGUGUAUGCGCGCGCGCUGUUUACACCAGGUAUGGGGGGGGAUGCUAGUCUCAAAGAUACAAGGUGGAGGUCAGCAGCUUUAUUAAUUGUGAAUUCUAAUAAAUAAAAAUAAGGUUAUUUUAUUUUCAUGUCUUAAUGUGCUACCAAGAUUCAAACCUGCAAUUUGGGAUAGCAAUCUUAUGUUUUUUUUUUUUUUUCUUCCAAUUCCAGCGGCAAAUGUCUGUAUUUUAUGUAAUAAACACAAAGUGUAAAACUAAGAGGAAUGAAAAUUGUAUACUUUUACAAAUAAAACUCUCAAAAGUGCUUUGUGUUUGGUGAUGUACCUAAAUAAAGGUGCUCUGAAGCAGC